This 1027-nucleotide ribosomal RNA is filed under the name Pichia kudriavzevii. RNAcentral's name for it is "partial large subunit ribosomal RNA". The stretch from base 430 to 1027 matches the Rfam family "Eukaryotic large subunit ribosomal RNA", at positions 1 to 610 of the family's 3401-position model. Lineage: Eukaryota; Fungi; Ascomycota; Pichiomycetes; Pichiales; Pichiaceae. The record is from RNAcentral.
CAUUACUGUGAUUUAGUACUACACUGCGUGAGCGGAACGAAAACAACAACACCUAAAAUGUGGAAUAUAGCAUAUAGUCGACAAGAGAAAUCUACGAAAAAACAAACAAAACUUUCAACAACGGAUCUCUUGGUUCUCGCAUCGAUGAAGAGCGCAGCGAAAUGCGAUACCUAGUGUGAAUUGCAGCCAUCGUGAAUCAUCGAGUUCUUGAACGCACAUUGCGCCCCUCGGCAUUCCGGGGGGCAUGCCUGUUUGAGCGUCGUUUCCAUCUUGCGCGUGCGCAGAGUUGGGGGAGCGGAGCGGACGACGUGUAAAGAGCGUCGGAGCUGCGACUCGCCUGAAAGGGAGCGAAGCUGGCCGAGCGAACUAGACUUUUUUUUCAGGGACGCUUGGCGGCCGAGAGCGAGUGUUGCGAGACAACAAAAAGCUCGACCUCAAAUCAGGUAGGAAUACCCGCUGAACUUAAGCAUAUCAAUAAGCGGAGGAAAAGAAACCAACAGGGAUUGCCUCAGUAGCGGCGAGUGAAGCGGCAAGAGCUCAGAUUUGAAAUCGUGCUUUGCGGCACGAGUUGUAGAUUGCAGGUUGGAGUCUGUGUGGAAGGCGGUGUCCAAGUCCCUUGGAACAGGGCGCCCAGGAGGGUGAGAGCCCCGUGGGAUGCCGGCGGAAGCAGUGAGGCCCUUCUGACGAGUCGAGUUGUUUGGGAAUGCAGCUCCAAGCGGGUGGUAAAUUCCAUCUAAGGCUAAAUACUGGCGAGAGACCGAUAGCGAACAAGUACUGUGAAGGAAAGAUGAAAAGCACUUUGAAAAGAGAGUGAAACAGCACGUGAAAUUGUUGAAAGGGAAGGGUAUUGCGCCCGACAUGGGGAUUGCGCACCGCUGCCUCUCGUGGGCGGCGCUCUGGGCUUUCCCUGGGCCAGCAUCGGUUCUUGCUGCAGGAGAAGGGGUUCUGGAACGUGGCUCUUCGGAGUGUUAUAGCCAGGGCCAGAUGCUGCGUGCGGGGACCGAGGACUGCGGCCGUGUAGUCACGG